UACAAAGAGCAUUGUGACUGGCUUACAAAGU
RNAcentral lists this non-coding RNA (31 nucleotides) under Mus musculus (house mouse). Lineage: Eukaryota; Metazoa; Chordata; Mammalia; Rodentia; Muridae. The record is from RNAcentral.